AGGAAGCAUCAUUUGCUAAACCAUUAAACAACGAUUCAAGACAUUUGAUCCAAACCCAUAAUACAAAGGGGCAAUCUUUAGAGAAGAAUGAGAAGGAGGCCUGGAAUUGGCGGGUUACAAACAGCUGCUGCUGCUCGGGUUUGUUUCUUCUGGGCUAUAUGAUGUCUUUUGAUUAUUUAUUCUGGUUUAUUGAUAAUUUGAUUUUUGAAUUUGUAUGGAAGGACCAAUAUCGAUUAUUAGGAGAAAAUGUAGCGAAGUUAAGAACUGAUCUUAUGAAAGAACAGCUCGCCACUUUUCGCUCCCAGCUAGAAGAAUUUGCCCGCAAACACAAGAAUGAUAUUCGCAAGAACCCAACUUUCAGGGCGCAAUUCCACGAGAUGUGUGCUAAAGUGGGAGUGGAUCCACUGGCCUCAAAUAAGGGUUUUUGGGCAGAGCUGUUAGGGAUUGGUGACUUCUAUUACGAACUUGGUUUGUACAGUUUUUCUUGAAGUAUGGCGCUUUUCUGAUUGCAAAAUUCUCUUUAGGUGUAGAACUACAUGUUUUUUGUUUUAUGAAUGUUUCAAGUGUAUGUUUGAGGCAUGAGUUCUAAAAUGAAAAUGGCAUAUUCCAAAUUUUUUUGCUGUAUUGGGAACAUGGAAAACGUUAUUUUUCUGUUUUAUUGAGAUUAUCUAAUGCAUGAUGGAGAAUACAUCAUUGGUUUCAGACACACAAAGGGGAAGAAGAAGGUGGUUUGUUACUUAAUUCACAACUAAAGUAAUAAACUACUAACUUUUGUGUCCUGUGAAUUUGCUACAACUGUUUUAAGAGUUUGUGUGCCACUUUUUACCAGAAAAGUGACUGUACCUGACUUCAGGUAUUUAAUGAAAUUUGUUCAUGUUUAUGUUUAUGACUUGGAUGUUAUUUUGCUCCACUCCUUUUGACCCGUGUCUAAAAAUUAUCCUGUUAUUAAAUUGUGUGCUUUUCAGCAUGCUGUAAAUUGUUUAUUCUGAUUUCAUCUUCUUGGCUAGAUAGGGGUGCAAAUCGUUGAGAUAUGCUUGGCAACAAGAUCUCACAAUGGAGGUUUGAUCAACCUUCAGGAACUCUGCAUGCUACUUCGUCAGAAACGAAAAACUGAUCGUGAAGCUGUUUCCGAAGAUGACUGCUUGCGUGCUAUAAGUAAGCUUAAGGUUGGUAAUUGAGGUGCCAUCAUGGUUGUACAGUUUUUUAGAAACUGAUGUAAAUAUAAGGUGCAUUAUGGAGGAGAAAAUCUUCUAAUGAAUCAAGUUUACUCGAACAUGUUUUAUGUCAUCUUUCUAAAUUCUUAGCAACAUCGUUCCUAUUCUGCUAUAUUUUUCUUAUUCGAAAGACACAACUGAUAGCAAAAGGGUUUAGGGGAAUGAAACCAUUUUGAUACUCUGAGUCUUAUGAUAUUUUAGUUUUAGGUACUUUAUCUGGUUUAUUAAGAAAAUUUAGUAGCCAAAUAUCUCUCUCUUUCUCUCUCAAGUUGGUGAGGGAGAUUAAAAGUCUUCAUUCAUGUGAUGUUUUAUGCCGCAAUGUCAUGAUGGGCAUAUUCUUUGGUUAUUAUUGGUUUGUUGUAUGGUAUUUUGUUGGAAGGCAGUCAGAAAAGUUAUAUGUUCCUAUUAUCCCUAAAUUUCAUUAUGUUUGUUCUCCUUUUUUCUUGAGGGAACAAUUUAAAUUUAUCUAUGUCCAUUUGGUAAAUUUUUUGAUACUCCUAACAGUUGUAAGAUAGAUAAGUGUCAUUAUUAGAUUCAUUCUGAGUAUGCAAUAUGCAUUAGUGCCAUUAUAUUAAUUGCUAAAAUUGAAUGCAACUUCUGCAUCAUAUAUCACUGGUUACUUUUCUAGCAUUGUUUAUUAGUUGACUAUGAAUUUUCUCAGAUACUAGGGAGCGGUUUUGAGGUGAUAUCUGUUGGAAAAAGAAAGCUUGUUCGAUCUGUUCCAACUGAAUUGAACAAAGACCAUAAUGAAAUUUUGGAGCUGGCUCAGGCUCAAGGCUAUGUCACUGUUGAUGAGGUAGAGGGGCGACUUUCUUGGACAUCUGGUCGUGCUACUGAUGCCCUUGAUACAUUAUUAGAUGAAGGUCUUGCUAUGAUUGAUGAUGGCCACAAGGAUGGCAAGCGCCGCUAUUGGUUCCCCUGUGUGUCUUCCAUAUCCUCUUCAGUAGGAGCUGAUAUUUAAAAUGGUAUCUCAUCCAUGAACUUUAUAUUUGCACCCAUAACAUAAGGUUGUCGAGGAAGUUUUAUUGUAAUGUCCGUGAUCUUGGUCUAGUUUUCUUCCUUGGAAAUGCAACUUGCACAGGUCCGGUCACCAAAUUGAUCACUGUGAUGCAAAAAAAUUAUUCACUGUGUACUGCUUGUUAAUGUGAGACUUGUAAAUUAAACUGAAUCGGAAAGUGACUUCAAUCAUGGAUAUUAAACAGAUAAAAUGAGCAAAUUAUUUCAUGUUUUUUAUAUAUCUGGCAGAAUCAGUUGUGUUUGUAUGAGCUGUUGCUUCCUGUAAUGGGAAUUGAACAUAUUUAUUUCCUUGUUAUGCUACUGUAAAUGCCAAUCUGUUAAUUCAAUCUAUUCACUGAAAGAAAAAAAG
Molecule: unclassified non-coding RNA, 2580 nt
Filed under: Hevea brasiliensis (rubber tree)
Lineage: Eukaryota; Viridiplantae; Streptophyta; Magnoliopsida; Malpighiales; Euphorbiaceae
Source: RNAcentral